RNAcentral lists this transfer RNA (73 nucleotides) under Camelus bactrianus (Bactrian camel). It matches the Rfam family "tRNA". From Rfam's summary of the family: Transfer RNA (tRNA) molecules are approximately 80 nucleotides in length. Their secondary structure includes four short double-helical elements and three loops (D, anti-codon, and T loops). The record is from Rfam by way of RNAcentral. Lineage: Eukaryota; Metazoa; Chordata; Mammalia; Artiodactyla; Camelidae. RNAcentral also lists the same sequence under 2 other names.
GGGGGGAUAGCUCAAGGAAUAGAGCACAUGCUUAGCAUGCACGAGGUCCUGGGUUCAACCCCCAGUACCUCCA